This 746-nucleotide ribosomal RNA is filed under the name uncultured bacterium. RNAcentral describes it as "bacterial SSU rRNA". It matches the Rfam family "Bacterial small subunit ribosomal RNA", at positions 33 to 773 of the family's 1533-position model. The record is from RNAcentral.
ACGCUGGCGGCAGGCCUAACACAUGCAAGUCGAGCGGUAGAGAGAAGCUUGCUUCUCUUGAGAGCGGCGGACGGGUGAGUAAUGCCUAGGAAUCUGCCUGGUAGUGGGGGAUAACGUUCGGAAACGGACGCUAAUACCGCAUACGUCCUACGGGAGAAAGCAGGGGACCUUCGGGCCCUUGCGCUAUCAGAUGAGCCUAGGUCGGAUUAGCUAGUUGGUGAGGUAAUGGCUCACCAAGGCGACGAUCCGUAACUGGUCUGAGAGGAUGAUCAGUCACACUGGAACUGAGACACGGUCCAGACUCCUACGGGAGGCAGCAGUGGGGAAUAUUGGACAAUGGGCGAAAGCCUGAUCCAGCCAUGCCGCGUGUGUGAAGAAGGUCUUCGGAUUGUAAAGCACUUUAAGUUGGGAGGAGGGGCAUUAACCUAAUACGUUAGUGUUUUGACGUUACCGACAGAAUAAGCACCGGCUAACUCUGUGCCAGCAGCCGCGGUAAUACAGAGGGUGCAAGCGUUAAUCGGAAUUACUGGGCGUAAAGCGCGCGUAGGUGGUUUGUUAAGUUGGAUGUGAAAUCCCCGGGCUCAACCUGGGAACUGCAUUCAAAACUGACUGACUAGAGUAUGGUAGAGGGUGGUGGAAUUUCCUGUGUAGCGGUGAAAUGCGUAGAUAUAGGAAGGAACACCAGUGGCGAAGGCGACCACCUGGACUAAUACUGACACUGAGGUGCGAAAGCGUGGGGAGCAAAC